UUAAGUUCAGCGGGUAUCCCUACCUGAUCCGAGGUCAACAAUAUAAAAUUGGGGGUUGCUGGCAGGCACCCGCCCAGGACCAACAAGCGACGAGUAUUACUGCGCUUGAGACCGGACGGAGCCGCCACUGAUUUUGAGGCAGGCCCACUGGGGGGCGAGCCCAACACCAAGCUAGGCUUGAGGGUUGUAACGACGCUCGA
Molecule: unclassified non-coding RNA, 200 nt
Filed under: Rhytismataceae sp.
Lineage: Eukaryota; Fungi; Ascomycota; Leotiomycetes; Rhytismatales; Rhytismataceae
Description: partial internal transcribed spacer 2
Source: RNAcentral